RNAcentral lists this long non-coding RNA (1538 nucleotides) under Equus asinus (donkey). Its description in RNAcentral is "lncRNA (ENSEASG00005036422.1)". Lineage: Eukaryota; Metazoa; Chordata; Mammalia; Perissodactyla; Equidae. The record is from RNAcentral.
UGAAUCAGAAUCAGCAGGGUGCAGGCCAGAAACCGGUGUUUCAAAAACUCUCUGGGUGAUUCUGAUGCACUGUAGUGUUUGAGAAGAACUACUUUAAAGUUUGCAGUUACUCCCAUGUACAUUGUAAGAGUUUUACCUCCAUCUUAUGAAGUAGAGAUGUUUUGACCCAUUCUACAACGGAAUAAGAGAAGGCACAGAGAAUAUAAGAUAAAUACUUCAAAUAACACAUGACUCACAGAAAUAUACUGGAAUGCUGUCUCCAAUCAAGGAGAAACUACUUUUAAAUCACUUUUAAUGUCAAAGAACAUUUCGCAGCCAUCUUGCUUGCAUGUAUGAACUGUCAACUCUCAUACAUGUCUUCUUGUUGCUUAGUAUCUCUUUUUUUUUAGAUACUCUCAUCCUACAACCAGUAGACUCCUCCUGAGGGGUAUGAAGAUUAUGUUCUAACUGGAGAAGGUGUCGAGUCCCUUUGCUGUCACUUUCCUGUUGAUUUUAUUUCGGUAAAUCUUCCUAGUCCAAGGAAGAAAGCUUUGAUCACUUGAAAUCCUGAAAGAGACUAAAAACGACACUGAAAUUGCCUUUGUGUGGAGAUAAUAAAUAUAAUUGGCCCAGUCAUGAAGAGUGUGCCUGUGAUAUUGGAGCAGCUGGUUAGCUAUGAUGGGAUCCAGCUGUCCCUGACACCCCACUUUAUGAAUCAACUGGAAAAGGAAAUGAGAGAGACAAGAGAGGCCAUGGAGUCAAAAGAAGAGAACAAUGAGGCUCAAAAAAAGUUGCCCAUGAUGACUUCAAGAGGUGGUGGUAGCUUUGCAGCCACCGCAUCUUAAUUUAGUGCUACGGAGGAAAGAAUUGGAAAUAAUAAGAAUAUUUGACUCUAAACAUAAAGGCCUGUAACUCAUCGUCUAUCUUUUGUUCACCCUCAGAAGCAAUAAUCCCAGUGGAAAAACUUUUUCCUCUUUGAUCUGUCUGGACAAAUCAAUUUAAGAUUUCUGAAACAAAGAGGAUAUGGACGAGGGAAGAGUCAAGUCUUAAAACCAUGUUAGAGUUCUAUCACCAAGACUCCAACAGUUAAAACUAUCUUGCCUAUCUUUUUAAAUCUCUUAAAUAGACUUAAAUAUCUUUUUUGGACAACCUUAUUUCAGUUGUAACCAAGCAGUCGUAUGAAGAAGAAGACGGAAAAGGAAGGGACGGAAGGGGAGCGAGAGGGAGAGGGAAGUCACUACUUAGAUCUUGAAGAACUUGUUUUCAUAAGAUGCCCAGGCUGAUUUUUCUGCUAGAAUAUACCAUUUAGGAAUUGUUAUCCUUUUUUAGCAAAAGGCAGUGCAGGAUGCAGUAAUACUACAAGAAUGUGAACAGAAUAGAAAUCCCAGUGCUUUUGCCUGUGGGAUUUCACAUAAAAAAUGGGUGAGAAGUGGAUGAAGAGCCCUCACUGUGUGUAACUUAGUAAAUUGCCACCCUUUUGGUUCUAAGAACAUACUUCUUCAAGAUGGACAAAGUUACUAUAGUUUAGGAGGGGACAAAUAAAUGCAAAGAGAAGAGUA